ACUGAACGCUGGCGGAAUGCUUUACACAUGCAAGUCGAACGGCAGCACGGACUUCGGUCUGGUGGCGAGUGGCGAACGGGUGAGUAAUGUAUCGGAACAUGCCCAGUCGUGGGGGAUAACGUAGUGAAAAUUACGCUAAUACCGCAUACGAUCUAUGGAUGAAAGCGGGGGAUCGCAAGACCUCGCGCGAUUGGAGCGGCCGAUAUCAGAUUAGGUAGUUGGUGGGGUAAAGGCCCACCAAGCCAACGAUCUGUAGCUGGUCUGAGAGGACGACGAGCCACACUGGAACUGAGACACGGUCCAGACUCCUACGGGGGGCAGCAGUGGGGAAGUUUGGACAAUGGGCGAAAGCCUGAUCCAGCCAUUCCGCGUGCAGGAUGAAGGCCCUCGGGUUGUAAACUGCUUUUGUACAGAACGAAAAGGUUUCUACUAAUACUAGGAGCUCAUGACGGUACUGUAAGAAUAAGCACCGGCUAACUACGUGCCAGCCGCCGCGGUAA
Molecule: ribosomal RNA, 500 nt
Filed under: uncultured bacterium
Lineage: Bacteria
Description: partial 16S ribosomal RNA
Rfam family: Bacterial small subunit ribosomal RNA
Source: RNAcentral